CUAAUUUUAAUUCCAAAUUAAAGUUUUGACCCCAAUUUUACUGUGCACUGAACAUAGAAAAUGAUAGUGCGAUGUACUAUGGGCACAUUCUUGUUCAGUUGUAUUUUCAAAUUGAUCCCUUAUCAACUUCCUGUUGAGCAAACUCUCACCUAUGCAUAUUCUUUCACGUGUACAGGCCAUAUAUUACAUGUUCAUCAAAUUUUUCUCAGGAACUACAAAUUUUCUGAAAUUUGGAAUCUAGCUUCAUGUGAGCAUCCUGUACUAUGUGAUGCUUUUCUCAUCAGAUGCUUGAUACCGACCACUUGUAUCAGGCAACAUGGGGUCAAUUACAUUGAAGUAAUAAUUACAUUCAAUUAAAUUCAAAAUCUUCAAUUAAUAACAUUAUUGACUUUUUUCCAUAAUUAAUACAUCAAUUACUUGGCAAAUGUAAUUAAUUACUUCAAUUACAUUUGAAAGGAAAUUUUCGAAGAUAAAUGCUUUGCUAGGCACUUGAUACUUAGUGUCAGCUUUUCAUCAGUUUUUAAAGUCUCCUUUCGACAAUAGAAGUGGUAAAAAUCCCAGCUUGGAAUAUAUAAGCUUUGCAUUUCUACUGUUUGGAUCAGACGGUGAAAUUUACCUUUUUAAUGCAUUGUUCAAUGUUGUUGAACUUCUUUAUCUCAGAAUGCAUAAUGUAACAAAUUCUCUGUGUUUCUCUGAAAAUUAAAAAGGCCUUAUUUAAUAUUGAAAUAUUAAAUGUUUUAAUUACCUAUUGAAAUUUUACAUUUAUUUCAAUUUAAUUGAUUGAAAUGAUACAAAAAAGAGCACUAUUUUUUAUUUUUGAAAUGAUUUCAUUCCUUAUCCCACUUAUUCAAAUAUUUAUCUUGAAUAAGGAUUUAGAAAUCUGACUUUUAAACAAAAAUAAACUUAGUUUUAAUCAGACUAAUUAAGUUAAUAAACAAAAUUUUUCCAAUUUAAAUGUAAGCUAUUAGAGGAUAUAAGAUAAAUGAAAUCUGAUUAGAAAUGAAAAAGAAGCAUUAUGAAUUUAUUAAUUUUAAAAUUCUUAUAAGUAUUACCUUCAUAUGUGUAACAAGUUGGAUGUAACUUUAUAACUUCCACAAUGAGGGUGCCACAUGCAUACACUUCCUUUGAAAGUUUUCCAUUUGGAAUCACAGAACAGUAAAUGUCAGUACACUCUUGGAGCUCAUUUUUAAUCUGAAAAUGUUUUCUUUCAACAUCAUAUAUAUGUGAACAAAUUUUGCAAGUGAAUUUUGUCAUAUGCAUAUCCUUCAGAAUUUACAUUACCUAUGGCCCUAGGGUAUAUUUUCUCUCCUAUAGCCUUAUAUCUGUUUAACAUAACGUUAUAAAAACAGUCAUAUAUAGUUUGUAUAAAAAAUCCCAGAGGUUAUAUUAUUGUAUUUAGUCAUUGAAUAAAUAACUAUGUUAAUAUGUCAAAAAAUCAUCAAAAUCUACUAAUUAAGGUCAAGACAGAUCUCAAUGAGUUCUUUAAAUUAUGGCAUGUGUCUACAUCUUUUUAUCAUUAAUACUAAAAUGAAUCUACCAUGUUGUGUUAAAGGUGUCAGACCACAAUAAAAAUCUAUCUGUUCAACCAAAUUUUGCAAUUUUCACAGCUUCUAAUUUUACCUUAAGUUUAACUUCAAGGAAACCAGGUAUAUCCUGAAUGUACAUGUAUCACCUUCCACAUGCCAAUUUUCAACCAAUGUUUAAAGUCUUGUAACAAAUUUCUGAUUUGAAAAGACAGGUACUACCAAAAUAACUCCCGUUUCUGGAAAUUUAAAUAGUGUACUAUGUAGCGAUUUAUCCUGAAUUUUUAAUGCAAACUCAUAGACGUGAAAUUUGGCUCAAAAGGUCUAAAUAUAUUCCCUUUCACCAAAAGUUUCAUUUCUGCAAUUUGUUGGUUAUUUAAGUAAACAUGACAUCAAAGCACUUUUGUGUCAAAGUAGGACUAUUUACAUACGUUCUAAAUUGGAGGAGAAUUGGUGGUCUGACACCCAGAGCCAAAAAAGUUACUCAGACAAUCUUGCUUUGCUUAUUCUUAAAUCCUAUAGUCAAUUUGAAGUCAGAAACAUCCUACUGAGCAUAAUGUGACUUAUAUUAAAUUUUCACAGCUCAAUUUAAACUGAUGUAUGUAUGACCUUGAUAGAAAACUUGAAAAUUCAUUUUGGAUACAGGAACAUAAACUUUCAAUAUCAGAUCAGUUUGUUGAUUUUUUCUUGUUUGUUCUACUUCUAAAGACUUCCACAAUUUUUACAAUGGGUUAAGUAAAAAAUUCAAGGUAUUGAGAGUCAAGGAAUAUUGACCCCCCUUUUUUACACCUGGUGUAAGUAAUGGACUAUUAAAUGAUCAAAGUGCAGUCAUGGUCAUUUAAAUGUUUUUAUUUCUAUCAGUAAUACAACUUAAGGCAUAAAACUCAUUUGAGAUAAAAAUUUUUUUGUGAGUUUUUGCAAUGUUACAUCAGAGCUAUGUUAUCUGCCAAUACAUGAUAUGACGCAAUGAAUAGGGAUAAAAUAAAUAAUUUCAUUAAAUCUUGAUGACAAGAACUUUUUUGGUGGUAAAAUACCUUUUUAAUUUAUACCACAGAAACAUCUUGCUGUGCAUUUAUAACAAUUGGGACAUUUUUAUGUGAAAGCAAUUGUCAGGGGAAAGCUAAAAAUAGCACAAAUUCAGGUCAGCCUAAAUUUGCAAUAUGUGACUUUUGCCCCCAAAAAGAUUGAAUGUGACUACUAUCACUUCAUAUGAUCAGUUAAGUAAAAAAAAUCAAUCGUUUCUAAAUUUCACCGCAUUUCCUUAAAGUGUCAGACCACAAUUAAAAUCCUAUCUGUUCAACCAAAUUUUGCAAUUUUCACACUUUCAAAUAUUUUACCUUAAGUUUAACCAAGGAAACCAGGUAUAUCCUGAAUUGUACAUGUAUCACCUUCCUAUAUCACAAUUUUCAACCAAUGUUUAAAGUCUUGAACAAAUUUCUGAUUUGAAACAGACAGUACUACCAUAACUCCGGUUUUCUGAAUCUUAAUAGUGUACUAUGUAGCGCAUUAAUCCUGAAUUUUUAAUGCAACUAUAGACAAGUGAAUUUGGCUCAAAAUGGUCUAAUAUAUUUCCUUUCACCAAAGUUUCAUUUCUGCAAAUUUGUUGGUUAUUUUAAGUAAACAAUGACAUCAAAAGCACUAUUUUGUGUCAAAGUAGGACUACUUUUACGUUCUAAAUUGGAGGGAGUAAUUGGUGGUCUGACACCUUAAUACAGAAGAUAACUGUGAAGGCUUUUCUUUGUCAUUACAACAUUGUUAAGUUAUGCUUUUAAUAAUUUUUGAGAAACACAAGAUUUAAUCUUUUGAUCCAAAAUUUCAAAUGUAAUUGACUUGUAAAUGAAAAGUAAUUGUCAAUUAGGCAAUUUUGGCUAGUAUUAAUUACUUCAAUUACAUGUAAUUAAAUCUCAAUUACACAUUACAUUCAAUUAUGAUAAUUGUAAUUAACAGUCAAUUACAAUUACAUAUUUCAAUUACCCCAUGUCUGUAUCAGGGGUAUUAUCAGUGACUUAUAAUGAGCAUAUUUUGGGAAUCAACACAGCAUAAAAAGGAAGUAAGAUCGGUUGGAUUAAAGACAUAUAUAAAAUCUACGAAGAAGCUUAUCACCAUAAAAUCCUCAAAAUAUCUUAGAAUGAAAAGACAAGAUGAUUUGUUUAUAAAGUACUUCUUAAAUUCUAUUAAUUUCCCCUGGUAGUGAAAAGUUAAGUUUUCCAAAGACCAAAAAAAGGUACCAAUUAGAAAAAUAUCAUUCAAAAUUUGAAAUUAUUUCGCUUUUAUUUUUUAUAACAUCAGUCAGAUGGUUGACUGUUUUAGCAACAAUGUAUUUAUAAUGUAAAAAAAUACUUGACAACC
RNAcentral lists this long non-coding RNA (3872 nucleotides) under Mytilus galloprovincialis (Mediterranean mussel). Lineage: Eukaryota; Metazoa; Mollusca; Bivalvia; Mytilida; Mytilidae. The record is from RNAcentral.